RNAcentral lists this small nucleolar RNA (204 nucleotides) under Trichophyton rubrum BMU01672. Its description in RNAcentral is "CD-box snoRNA". Lineage: Eukaryota; Fungi; Ascomycota; Eurotiomycetes; Onygenales; Arthrodermataceae. The record is from RNAcentral.
UCGACGUUGAAGUUGGGAUGAUGAAGAUGAAGACAGUGGCGUGAGAGAGAUAUGAUGAGGUACGUGGUAUCGGAGUGCUCUGGUUCCGUGAUGACACAAACUCCUUCUUCUUACCUUCUCUGAGUCGCCCUUGAAGAGACAUGCGGAUCUUCCCUCUCCGGUUGAUCUGUUGCUUGCCAGUAUAUCUGUCUGACUGGAACUGUC